RNAcentral lists this ribosomal RNA (538 nucleotides) under uncultured Pedobacter sp. RNAcentral describes it as "bacterial SSU rRNA". It matches the Rfam family "Bacterial small subunit ribosomal RNA", at positions 383 to 916 of the family's 1533-position model. The record is from RNAcentral. Lineage: Bacteria; Pseudomonadati; Bacteroidota; Sphingobacteriia; Sphingobacteriales; Sphingobacteriaceae.
UGAACCAAGCCAUGCCGCGUGCAGUGGAUGACUGGCCCUAUGGGUUGUAAACUGCUUUUAUCCGGGAAAAAAACCACAUUACGUGUAAUGGGCUGAAUGUACCGGAAGAAUAAGGAUCGGCUAACUCCGUGCCAGCAGCCGCGGUAAUACGGAGGAUCCGAGCGUUAUCCGGAUUUAUUGGGUUUAAAGGGUGCGUAGGCGGCCUGUUAAGUCAGGGGUGAAAGACGGUAGCUCAACUAUCGCAGUGCCCUUGAUACUGAUGGGCUUGAAUGGACUAGAGGUAGGCGGAAUGAAACAAGUAGCGGUGAAAUGCAUAGAUAUGUCUCAAAACACCGAUUGCGAAGGCAGCUUACUAUGGUCUUAUUGACGCUGAGGCACGAAAGCGUGGGGAUCAAACAGGAUUAGAUACCCUGGUAGUCCACGCCCUAAACGAUGAAAACUCGCUGUUGGCGAUACACAUUCAGCGGCUAAGCGAAAGCGUUAAGUGUUCCACCUGGGGAGUACGCUCGCAAGAGUGAAACUCAAAGGAAAUUGACGG